UGGAAGAGUGUAGACAUGCCAUG
This 23-nucleotide non-coding RNA is filed under the name Cricetulus griseus (Chinese hamster). Lineage: Eukaryota; Metazoa; Chordata; Mammalia; Rodentia; Cricetidae. The record is from RNAcentral.